RNAcentral lists this transfer RNA (65 nucleotides) under Jacobiasca formosana. Its description in RNAcentral is "tRNA-Thr". Lineage: Eukaryota; Metazoa; Arthropoda; Insecta; Hemiptera; Cicadellidae. The record is from RNAcentral.
GUUUUAAUAAUUUAAAUAAAAAUAUUAGUUUUGUAAACUAACUUUAAGAAUAUUCUUUUAAAACA